This 424-nucleotide unclassified non-coding RNA is filed under the name Hevea brasiliensis (rubber tree). Lineage: Eukaryota; Viridiplantae; Streptophyta; Magnoliopsida; Malpighiales; Euphorbiaceae. The record is from RNAcentral.
UCUACUCCUGUUUCUGGGCAUGCUCCUGGCCCAUCCCCUACCCCUGCCAUGUCCCAUCCCCCAUCACAGGUAAAUUAUAAUUAUGGGCAGCCACAUGGUCCAGAUUAUGGGCAUCAAGCUCCUUAUUCCCAGGCGGUACCUUCUCAGCAGAGCUAUGGGCAUGGAUAUGAUGAACCAAAGUAUGACAAUCAUGCUCCAAUGCAGCAUCCUUAUGGACAUGGAAGUUCCCAACCAAUGUAUCCACAAGCCAGCAAUCAACCAGGCUAUGGGGCCCAGCAGCAGUAUGGAAAGCAACCAUCAUAUGGCAUGCCAUCGCAGGGACCACCUCCCCAAUCAUAUGGCCCUCCUAGGCCUAGUCAACCUGGUGAUAUGCCUUAUCAAGGUCCCGUUCAAUCCAGUCAAUCAUAUGGUCCAAAUGUGCCAC